AACGAACGCUGGCGGCAGGCCUAACACAUGCAAGUCGAGCGAGGACUUCGGUCCUAGCGUCGGACGGGUGUGUAACGCGUGGGAACGUGCCCUUUGCUUCGGAAUAGCUCUGGGAAACUGGGAGUAAUACCGGAUGAGCCCUAAGGGGGAAAGAUUUAUCGGCGAAGGAUCGGCCCGCGUUGGAUUAGGUAGUUAGUGGGGUAAUGGCUUACCAAGCCGACGAUCCAUAGCUGGUUUGAGAGGAUGGUCAGCCACACUUGGACUGAGACACGGCCCAGACUCCUACGGGAGGCAGCAGUGGGGAAUCUUAGACAAUGGGGGAAACCCUGAUCGAGCCAUGCCGCGUGAACUAUGAAGGCCUGAGGGUUGUAAAGCGCUAGCAGCUGGGAAGAUAAUGACGGUACCAGCAGAAGAAGCCCCGGCUAACUCCGUG
This 433-nucleotide ribosomal RNA is filed under the name uncultured bacterium. RNAcentral's name for it is "partial 16S ribosomal RNA". It matches the Rfam family "Bacterial small subunit ribosomal RNA", at positions 29 to 507 of the family's 1533-position model. The record is from RNAcentral.